Molecule: long non-coding RNA, 2260 nt
Organism: Chrysemys picta bellii (western painted turtle)
Lineage: Eukaryota; Metazoa; Chordata; Testudines; Emydidae
Source: Ensembl
AAGUUAUAAUCAUAGUAAACGUCGCCCCCUUCCGUCACUAAGAUAUGGACUAGAAUCGCUCGGCGCUGCCUGCUGAAAUGUGCUGCUUGUACAGCAACGCCACAGACUCUCCAGCAGCGCUUCUCAGCGGUACUGAACUAUAAUCAGGUGGAGAUUAACAUCUUUACGGAUUCGGGGAUUUUAACAGGGAUGGCAUUGGAAGUCCGCGCGUGUGGUUUCCCUCCUUACAAAAACCAAACGCCUAGAUACUCCAAAAAUGAAAUCUCACCACUACUAUUAACGCCAGAAAACAUCUGCAAUCAAAUAGUUAAAAUGAUUAUAUCUCCUCACGCUAAAAGGCAUCCAACAGCACUACUAGCUGAUCCACAUGACCCAGGGUUUGUACUGAAUGACCACGUGCACAUAACGCAAAAGGUCAACUUUUCAAAUUAGGAGAGAAAACGCUUUAUGUGAAAUACUUGAACCUCCUCACAGUUAAAUUGAGCAUGCAUAGCAAUGAGGCGCUAUCUCCGGGCGACAGUCAGAGCGGGCGUGGUAACAACGUACACUUGACGGUUUUGUUUUACGAGCUGAACUAAUGAACAGCAAUUUGGAGAAUAAAGUAAACAAAUCACAGCGCAGAGUUUACUUUGGGGAAAGGCGUUUCUAUGAAGUUUGGAUGCUGGUGGGUUAGGGGAGGAUUUCCUAUUGCAGUUCUGAACGAAUUCCCACUUCCCCUCUCCGCUGUUCUACAGUGGCGAAGGCUAGACGCUACCUUCUGCUAAUAGGCUACACGCACAAAAGAAACUACGCUGGGCAUUACACAGCUGGGGCAAAAGGUUCAGCCCCAGGCCCCUAGUUGGUCAGCUUGGCUUUUGUAAACUUCAGCUCGUUUGCAGGUGGAUUUGGCCAUGACAAUGGGCUAACAAGUAAUCUCUUCCCAAUACCCUCUGCUAAAUACCUUCACAUUAUACUGUACUAGCAUAGCAUUACGGCUACUCCAUAAAUCAGAGGAUUAUGUCACAAACGCUUGAAAUGAAGUGGAGAGAAAAUAUCAUGGGAUCGUCACCUGAAAUAGAAGAUAACGUCUUUUCAGUAAUAUUUGUGUUGCUGAUCCUUAUCCUCUCAAGGAAAACACCAAUUGACUUCAAUCAGUGCAGUAGAAUCCCUGCUAAAUUAGCCCAGAAUAAGGAGUAUGGAUUAAACAGGAGGUUUUUCCUAAAUUGGAAAAUGAAUGAUCCAGAAUUGGGCAAUUCAAGAAAAAGCACUGAUUGGCUCUGAAGGUAUUAGUGUCUUCCUCAACCAGAUGGAGUGUCUUUAUAACGUAAGGUAGCUGAAGGCAAAGAAAGCAAAGGGUGAAAACCAAGGCUGCAAGGAAUACAAGGGAAAAAAGUGGACAAUACUAUAUAUAUCUUCUAUUUCAUUUGCACAAUCAGGCACAUCUCACUUAAAUAUUUGUAUCAUUCCAUAAACUGCAUCAUGGCCAAUCUCCCAACUAAGUAUUUAAAAAAAAUAUGCCUCAAUUUGGUAAAUACCAUCUAAAAAUGUAAAUUGCACUGUCAAUCUUCCCUACUGUCGAACAAAAUUGUACACACACAUCAAAUCUAUCAAUCCAUUCCACUAAUAGUUCAGAUGUGAUCCAGUCAGAUUCCACUUGCUGUCCACCAACAGGAAGCAGCAGCAGAAGUUUAACUAAAGCAAGGUAAGAAAAAGUGUACCAAAUAAUAUAAACAGUUCAUAACUGGAAACUUAAUAUUUUAUAUGUUGUAGACGGGAUUUAGCAAAAGGGAACAUGUUAGAGCUGAUUACAUCCCAACUGAAGCUACAAGGAGCUCUUACAGGACACACAUUCUUCCAUACAACCAGAUGAAGGCUACUGUGAAAGAUUAAUAAGCAAUGCUUUCCUUACUGUACUUAAUUCCUUGGAAAUGAACAUUAUUUCCUUAAAAUUAUUGUAUUCCAUUAUACACAGAGAGAAGACAUUUGUUUAUUAUCAUAGGGCUACUUCUCUCAACAGAUAAUGCUCAGUUAAAAACAAAAUAGACUAACACCUAACUUUCAUUCUAAAAUGAAUGUAGUGUUCAUGAAAGAUGCCACACAUCCACAGUAUUGAAAACUGAAAUCCUAUUUGUCCACAGGCAGAUAUAGCACAGGAAAAUGCAGCACAAAUUUCCCUAUGGUGGCCAUUCAAUGUAUUUUAAUACUGACUUACAGGAUUUAUUUAUUCAGGUCAGAGGGAUUUUAAAUUUCUAUAUCCAUUCAGUCUCUGGACUCUGUGGCU